UCUGGUGCCAGCAGCCGCGGUAAUUCCAGCUCCAAUAGCGUAUAUUAAAGUUGUUGCAGUUAAAAAGCUCGUAGUUGAUUUUCUGUUAAUUUUUAUGUAUAAUAUUGCGWUAUUUACAUAAUAUUAACAUAAUUCACAUUACUUUACAGUAUGUGGAAUUUUACUUUGAGAAAAUUAGAGUGCUUAAAGCAGGCUAUUGCCUUGAAUACUCCAGCAUGGAAUAAUAUUAAGGAUUUUUAUUCUUCUUAUUGGUUCUAGAAUAAAAAUAAUGAUUAAUAGGAACAGUUGGGGGCAUUUGUAUUUAACAGUUAGAGGUGAAAUUCUUAGAUUUGUUAAAGACAAACUACUGCGAAAGCAUUUGCCAAGGAUGUUUUCAUUAAUCAAGAACGAAAGUUAGGGGAUCGAAGACGAUCAGAUACCGUCGUAGUCUUAACCAUAAACUAUGCCAACUAGAGAUUGGAGGUUGUUCCUUACUCCUUC
This 480-nucleotide ribosomal RNA is filed under the name Cryptosporidium scrofarum. RNAcentral's name for it is "SSU rRNA". The record is from RNAcentral. Lineage: Eukaryota; Apicomplexa; Conoidasida; Eucoccidiorida; Cryptosporidiidae.